Molecule: ribosomal RNA, 253 nt
Filed under: uncultured bacterium
Lineage: Bacteria
Description: partial 16S ribosomal RNA
Rfam family: Bacterial small subunit ribosomal RNA
Source: RNAcentral
UACAGAGGGGGCAAGCGUUGUUCGGAAUUACUGGGCGUAAAGGGCGCGUAGGCGGCCUUCUAAGUCAGACGUGAAAUCCCCGGGCUCAACCCGGGAACUGCGUCCGAUACUGGAAGGCUUGAAUCCGGGAGAGGGAUGCGGAAUUCCAGGUGUAGCGGUGAAAUGCGUAGAUAUCUGGAGGAACACCGGUGGCGAAGGCGGCAUCCUGGACCGGUAUUGACGCUGAGGCGCGAAAGCCAGGGGAGCAAACGGG